AUACAUACGACUCUCGCAACGGAUAUCUCGGCUCUCGCAUCGAUGAAGAACGUAGCGAAAUGCGAUACUUGGUGUGAAUUGCAGAAUCCCGCGAAUCAUCGAGUCUUUGAACGCAAGUUGCGCCCGAAGCCAUUCGGCCGAGGGCACGUCUGCCUGGGUGUCACGC
Molecule: ribosomal RNA, 166 nt
Filed under: Rhoiptelea chiliantha
Lineage: Eukaryota; Viridiplantae; Streptophyta; Magnoliopsida; Fagales; Juglandaceae
Description: 5.8S ribosomal RNA
Rfam family: 5.8S ribosomal RNA
About the family: 5.8S ribosomal RNA (5.8S rRNA) is a component of the large subunit of the eukaryotic ribosome. It is transcribed by RNA polymerase I as part of the 45S precursor that also contains 18S and 28S rRNA. Functionally, it is thought that 5.8S rRNA may be involved in ribosome translocation.
Source: RNAcentral